GCGGACCGCCGUCGCCGUCAGCCUUUGGACCCAAAGUCGAGAAGUGAGGUGAUUGUGAUUGGGGAAGCGAGGAAGACGACACUAUGAGCAGAAAGGAAUGAUCAACCACCGUGAUGGCGGACGGUUGUGGGUAGACCCGGUGUCUACACGUGGAUUUGCUAGACGGGAUAUGACAUGACAUGGUUGUUGUGUGGUGAGGUGCCAUGGCAUAAGACAUGACGCGAGAUAUGACAUGACACGGGAUAUAACUGACGUGUGGGUGUAGUUUGGUUGUCGCUGGCAGGGCACUCUGCUAUCUGUGCUGCCACAUAGUCUGAGAUCCCUUGUGUGGCUUACUGGUUGCAAACUUCUUACAAUGGAUAAGGCCUCACUACAAGGACAUAAACCAUAUCCAUUUGUGUCGAGAGAAAUCAUCUUUAAAGAUAAUAUAGUAACCAUGGCUCCUUUCGAGGGAAGGGAGCCGGACCACAAACAUUAGAGUGAACAAGAUGAAAAGGACGCUGAAACAGUCUUGCUAUGAGCAUAUAGGGUGACUGGUGGAUGUGGAGCUUGGGCUAAAUGGCGUUGAGUAUGGAAGGUUUUUCUAGCGAGUCAAUAUCAAACUGAAAAAAAACCAUUGAUGUUUUCAGGGACUGGUGAGCGAAGUAAACCACCCCGAAUGUUUCUUGUGCUAUUCGAGAAGCUGUUGUGUUUUUGCGCAAAACAAGAUAUGAUUGGCCAUGUUAUAGAACAAUGUGGGGAUGGGGUUCGUGAUCCAAAGAAGUUGCGGUUUGGCAGUUUUAUGAUGGUUCCAACCUAUAUGUGGUUCUAGCCUAGAAAUGAGUAAUUGCUCAACCUCGUGGUAGCACUACUUGUGGAAGAGGUGACUGGGCUAGUAGGGCCUAGGUUGUCGUGGAGGGAAAAGUGGGCAUGACCCGACCCGAUGUAUGAGAAAAAUGAUUUUGAACCUGUGAAUGAAAAUGCAGGCACAUGCAAUGUCAAUGCAAAUAAUGCUAGUUAUGGGGAUUCUGGUACNUCGUGGUAGCACUACUUGUGGAAGAGGUGACUGGGCUAGUAGGGCCUAGGUUGUCGUGGAGGGAAAAGUGGGCAUGACCCGACCCGAUGUAUGAGAAAAAUGAUUUUGAACCUGUGAAUGAAAAUGCAGGCACAUGCAAUGUCAAUGCAAAUAAUGCUAGUUAUGGGGAUUCUGGUACCUAGCCAACCCAACGUCGGUCAAGGACCCUCCCUAGGCGCUAGGGGGAAAGGAAGUACGUAUCUUAUAGAGUACCAUUAGGGCAAAACUGGGUUGAGCAACACAGGUGAGGGUUGCUCUUUGCAAGUUGAAGUGAAGAAAAGGCAGAGGAUAGUGGGUUUAUGCAGCUUAUGCAAGCAUUUUCAUCGCUUCCCCAUAUCUCAUGUGCACUCUUCGUUCCUUGUCGAUUUGGCUUGUCAUCCUUCCACUGUUUGCGUGUUUUGUGCCACAGACUUGAUGAUGCACUCCGCGUUCCCUUGUUGGGCGUCCGUGGCCUUGGCGACAGGUAGCGGCGUGCUCUUGGGCGCUUUGCUUCCUUGCAUAAGAGGGAGACGGUGCCGACUGCCCAUGCUCUUGCUCCGCCAGUGGUGGUGCUUGAGCUUGUGGCCAUGGUGGCAACUUGCAUGGGAGCAUGGGAUGUAGGAACAAGGCAGUGCACAACAACUCGUAGGCAUGCAAAGGAUGCCUAGCCGAGCUGCCAGGCAAUGGAGAGUAUGGAGGAGGUGCGAGGGGAGGGGUGAAAACGUUGUUGGGAGCGGACUGCCGUCGCCGUCAGCCUUUGGACCCAAAGUCGAGCAGUGAGGUGAUUAUGAUUGGGGAAGCGAGGAAGAGGGCACUAUGAGCAGAAAGGAAUGAUUAACCACCGUGAUGGCGGACGGUUGUGGGUAGACCAGGUGUCUACACGUGGAUUUGCUAGACAGGAUAUGACAUGACAUGGUUGUUGUUUGGUGAGGUGCCAUGGGAUAAGACAUGACGCGAGAUAUGACAUGACACGGAUAAAACUGACGUGUGGGUGUGUUUGGUUGUUGCCGGUAGGGCACUCUGCUAUGUGUGCCGCCACAUAGUCUGAGCUCCCUUGUGUGGCUUAGUGGUUGCAAACUUCUUACAAUGGAUAAGGCCUCACUACAAGGACAUAAAAUAUAUCCAUUUGUGUCGAGAGAAAUCAUCUUUAAAGAUAAUAUAGUAACGAUGGCUCCUUCCGAGGGAAGGGAGCCGGACCACAAACAUUUGAGUGACCAAGAUCAAAAGGACGCCGAAACAGUCUUGCUAUGAGCAUAGGGUAACUGGUGGAUGUGGAGCUUGGGCUAAAUGGCGUUGAGUAUGUAAGUUUUUUCUAGUGCUAGUCAAUAUCAAACUGAAAAUAAACCAUUGAGGUUUUCAGGGACUGGUGAGCGAAGUAAACCACCCCGAAGGUUUCCUAUGCUAUUCGAGAUGGUGUUGUGUUUUUGCGCAAAUCAAGAUAUGAUUGGCCAUGUUAUAGAACAAUGUGGGGAUGGGGUUCGUGAUCGAAAGAAGUUUCGGUUUGGCAGUUUUAUGAUGGUUCCAAUCUAUAUGUGGUUCUAGCCUAGAAAUGAGUUAAUUGCUCAACCUCGUGGUAGCACUACUUGUGGAAGAGGUCUAGGUGGUCGUGGAGGGAAAAGUGGGCAUGACCCGACCCGAUGUAUGAGAAAAAUGAUUUUGACCCUGUGAAUGAAAAUGCCGAUACAUGCAAUGUCAAUGCAAACAAUCCUAGUUAAGGGGAUUCUGGUACAUAGCCAACCCAGCGUCCGUCAAGGACCCUCCCUAGGCGCUAGGGGGAGAGGAAGUACAUAUCUUAUAGAAUACCAUUCGGGCAAAACUGGGUUGAGCAACACAGCUGAUGGUUGCUUUUUGCAAGUUGAAGUGAAGAAAAGGCAGAGGAUGGUGUGUGUGUGCCGCUUAUGCAAGCAUUUUCAUGCUUCCCCAUAUCUCAUGUGCACUCUUCGUUCCUUGUCGAUUUGGCUUGGCAUCCUUCCACUGUUUGCGUGUUUUGUGCCACGAACUUGAUGAUGCACUCCGCGUUCCCUUGUUGGGCGUCCGUGGCCUUGGCGACAGGUAGCGACGUGCUCUUUGUUAAGCUUCAUGCACUAGCCAACGCAACCAAAAGUCCGAACUGAUGGAAAGGGCUAGUGCAAUCCACAUAUACUGUAACACCCUCUCUCACGUGUGACGGGGAAGACAAGUCAACACGUGCAGCCGGAAGAGAGCGCAAAACUCACGUAUGACUCAAGAGGCCUCUACGUGGACACAAAGGGGGCUACCAACAAUUUUUUAAAUAAAUUGUGAAAGCCAGGACUUGAACUCAAGAUCUUAGCUCCGAUACCAUGUUAAGCUUCAUGCACUAGCCAACGCAACCAAAAGUCCGAACUGAUGGAAAAGGCUAGUGCAAUCUACAUAUACUGUAACACUCUUGGGCGCUUUGCUUCCUUGCAUAAGACGGUGCCGACUGCCCUUGCUCUUGCUCCGCCAGUGGUGGUGCUUGAGCUUGUGGCCAUGGCGGCAACUUGCAUGGGAGCAUGGGAUGUAGGAACAAGUUAGCACACAACAACUCGUAGGCAUGCAAAGGAUGCCUAGCCGAACUACCAGGCAAUGGAGAGUACAGAGGAGGUGUGAGGGGAGGGGUGAAAACGUUGCCGGGAGUGGACCGCCGUCGUCGUCGCCGUCGCCGUCAACCUUUGGACCCAAAGUCGAGCUGUGAGGGGAUUGUGAUAGGGGAAGCGAGGUAGAGGGCACUGUGAGCAGAAACGAAUGAUCCACCGUGAUGGCGGAUGGUUGUGGGUAGACCCGAUGUCUACACGUGGAUUUGCUAGACGGGAUAUGACAUGACAUGGUUGUUGUGUGGUGAGGUACCAUGCAAUAAGACAUGACACAAGAUAUAGAGGAGGUGUGAGGGGAGGGGUGAAAACAUUGUCGGGAGCGGACCGCCGUCGCCGUCAGCCUUUGGACCCAAAGUCGACCAGUGAGGUGAUUGUGAUUGGGGAAGCAAGGAAGAGGGCACUAUGAGCAGAAAGGAACGAUCAACCACUAUGAUGGCAGACGGUUUUGGGUAGACCCGGUGUCUACACGUGGAUUUGCUACACGGGAUAUGACAUGACAUGGUUGUUGUGUGGUGAGGUGCCAUGGGAUAAGACAUGACAUGAGAUAUGACAUGACACGAGAUAUAACUGACGUGUGGGUGUGUUUGGUUGUCGCCGGCAGGGCACUCUGCUAUGUGUGCUGCCACAUAGUCCGAGCUCCCUUGAGUGGCUUAGUGGUGGUGAAAGGCCUGCACUUACUAUUGUUGGCGUGAUGAUGGCGUCCUUGCACAUUCUUUCCUUCAUGAAGGCCUCAUCGUGGUGCUAUGCCCCAUCUCCAUCGUGGUGCUAUGCCCUAUCUCCAUCGUGAUUGUCGGUUUGGCAGGGUUGCUUUGUGGUCAGGCUCGGUGGAUGUCAGAGCGGUGGUUUCGGACGACGGUUAUACGCCAAGGCAUGGUCAUGGAUCUACAUCGCAGGGGUGAUGUCUUGAUGGUAUGAGAGUAGCAAGGUCGUCGACAUGGUCAACACGACCUGUGGGUCUGAUGUUUGGUGCAACAUUUGUGGUCUGCAGUGGUCGUCUUGAGCGUUACAAGGGCUUUGAGGGCUGUGAUGUUGUGGUUCGCGUGCGAGUGGGGCACAUUGGAGCGGGAACACCAAAUCUGGUGCAUGUGUUUAGUGCAACUGUCGCUUGUCUCGUGUUGUCCACGAGGGUAUGUUGCUUGUCUGUUUUUGACCCACUUUUCAUUGUAAAUUGGGCUGCUCUGUUUGUUUUUUAAUCUGGUUUCCCUUAUAAACCAGAUUAAUCUCUUUGGAGAGACAGUAGCACCAAAAUCCUCAAGCUCAUGAUGGAUCAACAUCACAGAGUUUGGAUAGACAGAAGCCUUGUUGUGCUCUCUAGGCUUUUGUGAAGAAAUCAGCCAGCUAUAAAUUAGAAGGCACAUACUGAAAAGCAAUAAUUCGAUCUUGCAAAUUGGAGCACAUGAAGGAAGCAUCAACAUCAAUAUGCUUGACGAGCUCAUGCUUCACAGGGUAGCGCGCAAUACUACUAGCACUUGUAGUGUUUGACAAGAGAGGAGUAUGUGUAGUGAUAGAAACACAAAUUUUCUCAAGCAUUCGUUGUAGCCAAGUCACAUGUGUUGUCAAAAGAGCCAUGGCCCGCGACUCAGCUCUGCACUCGAACAAGUGCAAUUUGUUUCUUCGGUCUUCCAGGCAAUGAGAAAACCACCAAUAAUAACAUAGUAGCAGAAGUGGACCGGCGAACUUGAGCAGGGAAAAAGAAACGGCUAGAUAGAGUCCCACGAAGAUCUCAUAGAACACGGAAAGGGUCACUAUAGUGGAUCGAAGUGGGCGCAAAAAGAAAUUGACAGAAUGUGAACGUGAUAUGGCCAUAUUCUUGCUGAAAGCCAUGGGCCACAUGCUGAGCUUUGUAACGCUUAAGAGAACCAUAAGUCCUAACCUUAUAGACCCACUUACAAGUGAUUGGAUGACCACGACGACGAAGGGAAAUGAGAUCCCAUGUGCCGAUGCGCCCAUGAGGAGCAAUCUCUGCCAUUGCAUGUUGUUAUUUGGGAUAAACAAUAACAUCGUGAUAAGUCGUCUCGAGAAGAGCGGCUUCGAAUAAUCAUAGUCGUCAAUAGGCGGAAGCGGAAGCCAUAAGUACGUUGAGCCAAAGGAGGGGAUGGAUGUGGACAGAAAGGACAAGACUCAUCAUAAGUGACACCCCGGGAAAUGCGUAUCCGAUGACUUAUAGGAUCCCAACACUGAUAGCCCUUGUGCUCAUCAUCGAGUACUCAGUUUGGUGUGUUCACGUGGGGCAAGAAUGACAUACCAAACACAACCAAACAAACGAAACACAAGUAGUCACGAAAAUGACCAAAAAGACGUUCGAGAGGAAGGCUGAAAUGUUGAUGAGAUAGGUGAAAGUAGAAACUGUUAGGAAAGCAACUUAUCUAUAUUGAAGGCCCAAGGGGCAUAUAUAUAUUACACAUGACUUGAGGUGCAAGGAAAGUAAACAUAGACUAAUAAGGACUCCUUAGACUAAUACUAAUAGACUAAUAAGGACUCCUAGACUAAUACUAAUACUUCCUAACACUCCCCCCUUCAAAUGCAAAGCGUAUGCAAUAGCAUUGCAUUUGAAGAAGUGUAAUACUAAAAGAAAUGAUAAUCCAAAUCCGCGUCUUGAAGAGUGUCGUCGUAACAUGAAGAGUCUUCAAAACUUGUCGAGUCGCCGAAGGAGUGAACGAAGAGAUGGCACAUCAGAGGUAGACACCGCAUCACUUGAAGAUACAAGAUAAGUAUCAAGAGAAGAUGGGUUGUCAAAAGAAGAUAGCACAUCAAGAGGAAGACACCGAAGAGAUGGCACAUCAGAGGAAGACACCGCAUCACUUGAAGAUACAACAAAAGUAUCAAGAGAAGAUGGGUUGUCAAAAGAAGAUGGCACAUCAAGAGAAUAAAACAUUGUGCAGAAAAUCGUAGUCCUCGACAACCGUCGGCAAAAGAAGCUCGGCGGAUAAGGCACGAUGGACGUAGAUCGACAAUGCAAAAGAAGUCCAGAAAAUCCUAUAGAAAACAACAAGGGCAAAUAGGCCACAAAAGUUGCAUAGAAAGGAUCAGGACCAAAGAAAAGGCCGACGGACUAAGGUAUGGUGGACUCGCAUGGCAUGAGAAAACACAAAAUAUCAAUGGAUUUGGUGGACGCAGCGGAGAAAAUAGAAAACUAGAAAACACACACUAGAUUAGGGAUGAUAGCAGCGGAAGAGAAAAAAUAAUAUCAUGGCGGCGAAGGCCAAUUCCAACCAGAGUGUGCGUGAGACGGUCCUGACUGUGUAGAAGGUGGUUGCUCAGUGCGGGAAGCCUGAGUCAGAAUGCCAGCAGUACCCGUCGAGGAAGAACCUGAAGCAGCGAGCAGACGCUUAAGUCGCAGAAUAUCCUGCCCAAUCAAAGCGAUGGCUGAAGCUGUCGAGGUAGAUGA
This 7015-nucleotide long non-coding RNA is filed under the name Hordeum vulgare. RNAcentral describes it as "long non-coding RNA (HVUL_LNC001182)". Lineage: Eukaryota; Viridiplantae; Streptophyta; Magnoliopsida; Poales; Poaceae. The record is from RNAcentral.